GUGCUUGCUUCAGCAGCACAUAUACUAAAAUUGGAACAAUAGAAGAUUAGCAUGGCCCCUGUACAAAGAUGACAUGCAAAUUCAUGAAGCAUUCUGUAUUUUU
This 103-nucleotide small nuclear RNA is filed under the name Procavia capensis (Cape rock hyrax). The record is from RNAcentral. Lineage: Eukaryota; Metazoa; Chordata; Mammalia; Hyracoidea; Procaviidae.